Molecule: ribosomal RNA, 476 nt
Filed under: uncultured bacterium
Lineage: Bacteria
Description: bacterial SSU rRNA
Rfam family: Bacterial small subunit ribosomal RNA
Source: RNAcentral
UGCGAAUCCUACGGGAGGCAGCAGUGGGGAAUUUUGGACAAUGGGCGCAAGCCUGAUCCAGCCAUGCCGCGUGUCUGAAGAAGGCCUUCGGGUUGUAAAGGACUUUUGUCAGGGAAGAAAAGGGCGGGGUUAAUACCCCUGUCUGAUGACGGUACCUGAAGAAUAAGCACCGGCUAACUACGUGCCAGCAGCCGCGGUAAUACGUAGGGUGCGAGCGUUAAUCGGAAUUACUGGGCGUAAAGCGGGCGCAGACGGUUACUUAAGCAGGAUGUGAAAUCCCCGGGCUCAACCUGGGAAUUGCGUUCUGAACUGGGUGGCUAGAGUGUGUCAGAGGGGGGUAGAAUUCCACGUGUAGCAGUGAAAUGCGUAGAGAUGUGGAGGAAUACCGAUGGCGAAGGCAGCCCCCUGGGAUGGCACUGACGUUCAUGCCCGAAAGCGUGGGUAGCAAACAGGAUUAGAAACCCCAGUAGUCCUAG